UAGGGAAUAUUGGGCAAUGGGCGAAAGCCUGACCCAGCCAUGCCGCGUGAGCGAUGACGGUCCUCGAGAUUGUAAAGAUCUUUUCUGAGGAAAGAACAUCCCGGGUAGGAAAUGCCCCGGGCUUGACGGUCCCUCAGGAUUAAGGAACGGCUAACUCCGUGCCAGCAGCCGCGGUAAUACGGAGGUUCAAAGCGUUGUUCGGAAUUACUGGGCGUAAAGGGAGCGCAGGCGGACAAGUCAGUCUAAAGUGAAAUCCCGGGGCUUAACCUCGGACUUGCUUCGGAUACUGCUGGUCUUGAGUUCGUGAUAGGAAGAUGGAAUUCAUGGUGUAGCGGUGAAAUGCACAGAUAUCCUGAGGAACACCGGUGGCGAAAGCGGUCUUCUGGCGCGAAACUGACGCUGAGGCUCGAAAGCGUGGGUAGCAAACA
This 428-nucleotide ribosomal RNA is filed under the name uncultured prokaryote. Its description in RNAcentral is "bacterial SSU rRNA". It matches the Rfam family "Bacterial small subunit ribosomal RNA", at positions 355 to 774 of the family's 1533-position model. The record is from RNAcentral.